This is an RNA transcript of Galeopterus variegatus (Sunda flying lemur), 6087 nucleotides long. It is a transcript of the gene named transmembrane protein 132B, with no coding region annotated. Lineage: Eukaryota; Metazoa; Chordata; Mammalia; Dermoptera; Cynocephalidae. The transcript has 6 exons. The record is from RefSeq and is a predicted model, not a curated record.
CGGUUCCGUGCUCGACGUGUCGGAGUCUGUGGAAUGCAAGUCCGCCGAUGAAGACGUCGUUAAGGUUUCCAACAACUGUGAUUCCAUUUUUGUGAAUGGGAAGGAAAUGAAGAGCAAGGUGGACACGAUUGUGAACUUCACCCACCAGCACUUCACCUCCCAGUUUGAGGUCACCGUGUGGGCACCCCGACUACCCCUGCAGAUUGAGAUCUCGGACACGGAGCUGAGUCAGAUCAAGGGCUGGAGGAUCCCAGUGGCCUCCAACAGAAGGCCUACCCGGGAGAGUGACGAUGAGGAAGACGAGGAGAAGAAGGGACGAGGGUGCUCCCUGCAGUACCAGCAUGCCGCGGUGCGCGUCCUCACCCAGUUUGUGGCUGAGUCGCCUGAUGCAGGUCAAAUGACCUACAUGCUGGGCCCCGACUGGCAGUUUGACAUCACUGACCUUGUGACCGAGUUCAUGAAGGUGGAGGAGCCGAAAAUCGCUCAGUUACAGGAUGGCAGGACCCUUGCUGGUCAGGAGCCGGGAAUCACCACAGUGCAGGUCCUCUCGCCUCUCUCUGACUCCAUCCUGGCUGAGAAGACAGUGAUUGUCCUGGAUGACCGAGUCACCAUUGCAGAACUGGGUGUGCAGCUUGUGGCUGGCUUAUCUCUUUCCCUGCAGCCUCACAGAGCAGACAAAAGGGCCAUUGUCUCAACAGCAGCUGCCCAGGAUGUUCUUCAAGCCCCACAACAGGAAGCAAUAGUCAGUUCUUGGAUUUUGUUCAGUGAUGGUUCAGUGACACCUCUAGACAUUUACGAUACCAAGGAUUUUUCAAUUACUGCCUCAUCGUUGGACGAAAUGGUGGUGUCUAUCCAGCCAAACCUUGAGUCCAGAUGGCCGGUUGUGAUUGCAGAAGGUGAAGGGCAAGGACCCUUGAUUAAGUUAGAAAUGAUGAUUAGUGAACCUUGUCAGAAGACCAAGAGGAAGAGUGUUCUUGCUGUGGGUAAAGGAAAUAUCAAGGUCAAAUUUGAACCAGGUAUUGAGCACCAAGGAGGCACCAAUGAUAUUGAGGGGAUAAAUCGGGAAUAUAAAGACCACCUCAGUAAUUCCAUUGAGCGUGAAGGAAACCAGGAGAGAGCAGUUCAGGAACGGUUCCAACAUGGCGCAUCAGUUGGCCAAGAGGAAAGUACCAACAAAAGCACAACCCCACAGUCUCCUAUGGAAGGGAGGGAUAAGAAGUUACUUAGGAGUGGUGGUCCAGAUACUUUCACAAGCUUCCCCACUCAAGGGAAGUUACCAGAACCCAAUAAUCCUGGUGAUCUUACAGUGACCUCAAGGGGGUUAACAGACUUGGAGAUUGGCAUGUAUGCCCUGCUCUGUGUCUUCUGCCUGGCCAUUCUGGUCUUCUUAAUCAACUGUGUGGCAUUUGCUUGGAAAUAUAGACACAAAAGGUUUGCUGUGAGUGAGCAAGGCAACAUCCCCCAUUCCCAUGACUGGGUCAGGCUGGGGAAUGAAGUGGAACUUCUGGAGAACCCCGUUGACAUCACACUCCCGUCGGAGGAGUGCACCACCAUGAUAGACAGGGGGCUGCAGUUUGAGGAGAGGAACUUCCUUCUGAAUGGCAGCUCCCAGAAGACUUUCCAUAGUCAACUGCUCAGGCCUUCUGACUAUGUCUAUGAGAAAGAAAUUAAAAAUGAACCUAUCAAUCCUUCGGGCCCAAAGAGGAAGCGAGUCAAGUUUACUUCCUACACCACCAUCCUCCCAGAGGACGGCGGCCCCUACACCAACUCCAUCCUGUUUGACAGUGAUGACAACAUCAAGUGGGUCUGCCAAGAUAUGGGGCUGGGGGACUCGCAGGACUUUAGAGACUAUAUGGAAAGACUGCAAGACCAGAUGUAAACUCCUUUCUUAUGUUUGUACUCACCUUUAUGCCUUCUGUUUUUUGAAUGGUGGAGCAGUGAGUUUGAUCAGCAAUAGGGGAUGAUCUAACAAAGUUUAUUUUGUGGAGGUCUGGUGGGAUCCCUUCCUAAGCAGGUACCAGAGGUUAGGAGAGCUAGGGCAGCUGUGUGUUAAGCCACGAAAUGCUUCUAAAACAGCCACAUGUAGGGACUGGAGAAACUCUAAGGCGACAGUUUUAUCUGCUGCCUGGUACUAGCUCAGUGAGAAUACAAUAGACCUGACCCCACAGACAUUGUUAGUCAUCUCAUGACAAAUGGCCAUGUGGAAUUAGAAAAGAUUUGGGUGUGAUUUUUGUAUUCCUAGACCUUUUAAAGCACAGUGGACUCUUAUUGCCCUCGGCCUGAGUUUAGACAUACAUGAAAGUUAACUGAAUGUAGCUCUCCUUACUUGUUACGAGCGCUGCUCAUUAUUUUUAUAUACAUUUGCACCUGCACCUGUUCCUUUGACCUCUGGAAUUCUUUCUGAGACACAAAAAGAAGAAAUUUCAGUCUUUUCUUUGAGGCCUGUUUGAUUUACAUAUGAGUUUCGUUCCUUGGGGUUUGCCUUGCCAUGUUGUCUCCUGGGUCUCCAUGUGGGAUGUCAGGUUUUUCCAGUUUUACACCCUUCAUUGUUUAGGGACAGCAUUUAAGCAUCUUGUUCUCACUAUUUCCCCCCUCCUUUCAUUGCUGAACUUUCUUGUAUAAAACUGGGACAAGGGGUUUUACUUAAAAUGUUAAUAAACUGUGAGGGAGGACCAUCUCUAUACAGUUUUCUACAUGAUGCUUCAAAAGUUUGGAGCAAAGUUAUGAGUCACGAACAUUUGUUUUUAUCCUCUGCUUGUUGAAAAUUCAUGGGGAACUCCUGGAGUGCAUUUCUGAGGGCAAAAAGACCCCAGCAUAGCUGUAUUUAUACAAGUGAUUUGUGAUCAAUGCAAUUUAUUAUUCAAACUGAAAUCUAAAAGUAGAAUUGAUCAACAUAGAGGGGCUAUGCCUAGAAAAUAGCUGCAGGUUAAACUUUCCAUUUUACCAGAAUACAAACUUAAAAAGGUAAGUAGAAUGAUGUUUCAAGUUAGCAAUACAUAGGAAUUCAUCCAGACAAUGACCAAAAAAUAAAUUCUCAAUUAUGACUCUGGCAGAGAUAAAACCUUUACAGGGUGUGCAUUGGUGGAAAAAGCAAUUGGUUUUCCCCCAAAAUUCAUAAAAAUAAAUGACUGUUCCAAACUGUUCUCAAGAAGCAGCUAUUAUGAGAAAACAACAGCUAUUGAAAAAUCAAAGUGGCAAGACAAAAAAGAAAUUCCUGCAUAUUUUUAAAAUAAAAUAUUAUUUAAAGAACAUCAUGAAUUGUCUCAAGCAAAGCAAAAAUUUCAGAUUAGGAAAAUGUGACAACAUUUUUAUUUAUUAAGACAAUAUUGUUGGAAAAGCAGACAAUGGACUAGUAUGCCUCAUUAUGAGUUUUAAUGAUCCACUUGUGUCUUGAAGAAAUAGAAUUUUAAAGGGCAAAAAUAAGAACGACCUGCAGGAGAUCACCUGAAGCAGUUCCCUGACUCCAAAUGGCUGAUGACUGAGUUGUUCAAAAGAGAGGCAUCCAAUUGUUCUCUUAUUGCAGAUUUCUGUGGAUGGGAACAUGACAACCCAGCCUCCUCUAGCCAGAAAGUGGCUGCCAUUAAGUUCUUCCUGUACCUCCCACAGGACUACACUGUGUUUGUGAACAGUACUGAAAUUGUAGGUGACAUAGGCCUGACCCCUCAAGGCCUGUGUUCAGUUGGUUCUGUAAGUGUUUAAAAUGGGGCUUAGGAAAUGAAGCUGGUGGAGUUCCAAAAAUCUUUUAAUUUGACUGGAGAAUGAAGUCAAGAGAUCCAGGCAUUAGCUGCAAAAGGAGUUUGCAAGGAGAUGGAUGACACCUUUCAGGAAGAGCUCCUCAGUUAGCCAAAGGCUUUUCCAAGGGUUUGGUGGGGGUGUAGCCCCAAAACAACUGUGGAGGACUGAAGACAAGUUUGCACACUAAUCGACACGUAGCUAUCCAGAUGUGUCCAGCUUCUUCGAUGAGACUUUUUCAAUUCUCUCUCCCUUUUCAUUUUCAACAGUCCAGAAAUAAUGGGAAUUCAUUUCUGAAAGUGAAGAAACUCAAUUGAAGCAGGGGAAAUUUCUCCCAUGCAUAUAGCAGGCUGCCUCCCACUGGUAAAGUAAGACAGUGUGGGGGUAUAAUUUGGGAGGGGGCAAAGGAAAUUAGCAUUGUCAUGGAGAGCAUUAUUAAGGAGCAAGCAGACAAAUCAGAGCACUUCCUACCAUGGGAGUGAGUGCUUGAUAGGGUGCAGUGGGCAGAAUGGGGAGCAUUCUAAUGUGACAGUGGUUUCUCAACAGAGCUGGGAACUGACCACGGUCCUGAAGGUGCCUGUUGUGGAUAACUUAGUCACCCAGAGUGAUAUAGCCUCUGUAGAGUCACCUUUGUUUUGUGUUAAAACUCAGUUCGAAAUAAAAAUCACAUGGAAGGGGGAAGGGUUCCUUUUACCAUGUAACAUACACUCUCACAUAUAUAAACACAUACAUAUACCCGUGUGUGCAUGUGUGUAUGUGUGUGUGUGUGUAAGAAUACUGAAGAGCCAGAAAAUAAACUAUUUAGUGGGAAUCAACAGUGACUCUCACUUGUUCUCAUAUUUUGCAUGAGCACUAUUCAUCAUAACAGAACUGAAGUGUUUUCUGCUCUAAAUAUUUCCUGCAAAUGAUAAACCAUGGGUUAUAUCACCUUGUUUUCCAGCACAAUUAUUAGGCACUAUGCCCCAUAAUAACAAAACUAAAGUGGGGAGAAAGAUAUAAACUAUUAAGCCUUGAAAUCCAAUUUCCAGGGGGCCAGGCAUUUGCCUGGAUUUUCCAGGUUUUUAUUGCUGAGAUACCCAAAUUAUUGCUCCCAUAGGUAAAGUCCCUUCCUUUCCCAUGAGAACAGAAUGCUCAGACUCCUCCCGAGGGAGACAUCAGCAAGCCUCGAGAGAGGGCUGUGAACUCCAGGGUCACAUGGGAGGUUCAGAUUCUAACUGAUGACCACACGACCUGGAACAGUUGAAGAUGGGGACCAUUGUCUCCAGGGUUCAGAUGCACUGCCUCAGAUUGCAGGGGUUGAGAAGCAGCUGCUACAUCAAAGAACUGGACUUUAAACACACAGGUGUAUUGCAUUUGAAAGAAAGCAAGAAGAAAGACACUGCAAGUUCCCCCCAGAAGAACAAUGCCUAACAAACCUCAGAAUACUCCAUGUGUUCCAAGGGAGGGAAUAAUUUGACUUUCUACAUGUUUUAUAUUGCACACUGGCCAGGGUAAAUUUCCAGACUAUAGUAAUCCUUAGUAUCUAGACAGAAAGUUUCUAUUUGUAAACAUCAAUGCAGGGAAAAAUGGAUUAAUUUUUGUCCCAUUGCCACAUCUGUAGACUAAUUUGUACCUUGCUAAUUUUUAAGUUUUAGAAAGUUUGCCUUUGUGCAUUUUGAUCAGCAUUCUUGUUUCACUCUUUUAGGGAGGGGUCUUCCCAGUGUUGGGAUGUUAGGACCACAGUAAAAGCUCUGUCCAUCAGAGAAGAACUAUUCAGUCCAACAGCAAGGAGCAAAGAGGGUGUUCCUUUCAUAUGCAUCUUCCGUGUCACCAGCACCGUGUGUUUCCUACUCUCAUCAUAUAAGAAAUGGUCUCAAUUUUCCAUUCCAGUCUCUGUGAAUGAUGCCGUAGAUGGUUUAUACACUCAGCAGCCCUCUUCUGCACUAAAAUUAUACAUGCGCAAUGUAAUGCCUAUCACCUAUUAUGUGAAAGGACAGUAUGAAUGGUGGAAAAGUUAUGCUAAAAUAGGGGUAGCAGAUAUUUUUGUAUGUAAUAUAGGCAAUAUACUGAAACACUGAGAGGUGUAUUGGAAUAAAUACAUUUUAAAAUAAAAGCAUGCAAAACUGUAGCUUUUAAAUGUACAAACAUCUCACUCCAAAGUAUCUGAAAGAUGGUGGGGAAAACAUUGGGACCAAACAUCGUGAAAUGCUGAACUAAGAAUUCUGGCCUGGAAAAGAUGUGGCUCAUGUUUGGAUUGUUAAUGGAAUCUGCUGGAACAUUUUGAUCUUACUCUUCAUUUCUUUUGGAUUUUUCCCUUUCUUUUUUUUCUGGAACUAUUUCAAAAAUAAAGUGACUUCAUUUUCCAGCCUAUUCUAA